NNNNNNNNNNNNNNNNNNNNNNNNNNNNNNNGGGGGGAGCGGGGGACGUGAAGGUAUGGAGACAGCGACAGAGGGACACCGGGACUCGGGGACAUGGACAUGGGGUUGGGGACACAGGGACUGGGUGGUGGGGACAGGGCCAUGGGGACAUGGGGACACAGAGGCCACGUGCAGAGGGACACAGCACGGUACGGGGACACACAGGGACGGGUGUGGGACGUGGGGACAGGCAGGGACAGGGGCACAGCGUGGGACACAGGGACACGGAGGGGGACAUGGACGCUGUGCAUGGCCCUCCGUCCCCCCGUGUCCUCCUGCCGCCCACUGCCCUCAGCACACGUCCUCUGUGUGUGUGUUCCCAUGUGUGACAUGGCGCGGCUUCGUAUGGCAUUGCAUGGCAUGGCAUGGCAUGGCUUCAUAUGUCGUUGCAUGACGUUGCAUGACAUUGCUUGGUACUGCAUGUCACUGCAUGGCAUCGCACGGCACUGCGUGGCAUUGCACUGCGUGGCACAGCUUCACACAUCGCACAGCGUUGCAUGAUGUUGUGUGGUGUUCUGUAGCUCUGCAGUUUUGCAUGGCGUUGCACAGUUCCGUGCAGCAUUGCACACCACGACCCAGCUGUGCACGCCUCCACCGUGGCCGUCACACGCUUUUGCACAGCGUGGCACGCCUGUGCACACCCCCAGCCCCUGGGGCAUGGCGGGACUUGGGGGGGGGGUGUUGUGCUGGGGCCCUGCUGCUGCAGCACAGAACAAAGCCCCCAUUGAGCACGGGCGUUUCCACCCCAAUUUUUUUCCAUGAUCACAUUCCCCCCCCCUCACCCCCCGCCUGGGGAAGGGGGGGGCAGGGAGGGGCACCACAUGCAUGCCUCACACACGCGUGUGCACACGGCUGCGGGAAGCAAUGCACACGCUUGCACAGGGCUGGUGCUCUCCUUGCACAUGUGCACACAUGUGCGCCCACGUUGGCAUGGACACAGCUGUAUGGGGGUGUUCCGUGUCCCCCCAUGCCCCCUGUGCCCCCCCACUCCUAUGGCCCCCGUGUCCCCACUUAUCGCCCCACGGCCCCUACACCUCCACUUUUCUCAUGUCCCCCCCGUCCCUCUACAUGCCUCAUGUCCCCUGUGUGCCCCAUGUCCCAUGUCCCCCAUAUCCCCAGUGUCCCCAGGUCCCAAUCUCCUGUGACCCCAGUACACCUGAAGUCCCCACAUCUCUCCAUAUCCCCCCAUGUCCCCCCAUGUACACCCGGGUCCCUGUGUCCCCCCGUCUCCAUCACCCCACACUCUGUUGUCCCCACGUCCCACUCCCCCCUUCCAGGGGCAACCCGUGGGUGGGGGUCACAUGAGGACAAUGUGAAGGGGGUGGGGGGGAUGGGGUGGGGACAGCAGCCUCCCUCUCCUGUCCGCGUGCACGCGUGGGCACACCCACGUGAACACCGCCCCCCCCCGGCUGAGCCCCCCCCACUGAGCCGGCUUUGGGCUAUAAAUACAUAAAUACCGGAGGGGGGGGCGGCACCAUGGGGCUGGCGUGGCAUGGGCAGCGGCUGCACAACCCCCCCUGUCCCCUGUGUGCCCCCCCGGGGGUCC
RNAcentral lists this long non-coding RNA (1585 nucleotides) under Numida meleagris (helmeted guineafowl). Its description in RNAcentral is "lncRNA (ENSNMEG00000005202.1)". The record is from RNAcentral. Lineage: Eukaryota; Metazoa; Chordata; Aves; Galliformes; Numididae.